Molecule: ribosomal RNA, 460 nt
Filed under: uncultured bacterium
Lineage: Bacteria
Description: partial 16S ribosomal RNA
Rfam family: Bacterial small subunit ribosomal RNA
Source: RNAcentral
CCUACGGGAGGCAGCAGUGAGGAAUAUUGGUCAAUGGACGCAAGUCUGAACCAGCCAUGCCGCGUGCAGGAUGACGGCUCUAUGAGUUGUAAACUGCUUUUGUACAAGGGUAAACCUGAAUACGUGUAUUCAGCUGAAAGUACUUUACGAAUAAGGAUCGGCUAACUCCGUGCCAGCAGCCGCGGUAAUACGGAGGAUCCAAGCGUUAUCCGGAUUUAUUGGGUUUAAAGGGUGCGUAGACGGAUUGUUAAGUUAGUGGUGAAAGGUUCGGGCUGAACUGGGAAACUGCCUCUAAUACUGGUGGUCUAGAGAGUAGAUGCGGUAGGCGGAAUGUAUGGUGUAGCGGUGAAAUGCUUAGAGAUCAUACAGAACACCGAUUGCGAAGGCAGCUUACCAAUCUAUAUCUGACGUUGAGGCACGAAAGUGUGGGGAGCAAACAGGAUUAGAUACCCUUGUAGUC